Molecule: long non-coding RNA, 221 nt
Organism: Malaclemys terrapin pileata
Lineage: Eukaryota; Metazoa; Chordata; Testudines; Emydidae
Exons: 3
Source: RefSeq, a predicted model, not a curated record
GGAUUUCCGGCAGUGCCUGUGUGAGUACGUCACCAGUGUGGUGCACUCAGCAGGGACACACGUCCGGACGGACCGAGCCGGGCAGGUGCUGACAGGGGCUCAGCUGGCUGCCAGGAUCAAGGGCGUCUCCUGAUAUCGGAAGACCCAACGCUACGACUUCUCCUCACCCAUGAAGAUGGCUGAGGCGUUUGCAGUGAUGAGACAGGAGUUAAACAGGAGAG